This is a long non-coding RNA of Pantherophis guttatus, 332 nucleotides long. RefSeq lists it as uncharacterized. Lineage: Eukaryota; Metazoa; Chordata; Lepidosauria; Squamata; Colubridae. The record is from RefSeq and is a predicted model, not a curated record.
GGAAUCUCUCUCUGUCUCUGUCUCUCCCUCUCUCCCUCUCUCCCUCCCUCCCCCUCCCCGCCCUCUCUCUCUCGAUCCAGGAAUUGUUUGCAUUCUGGCGGUUUGAGGCCAGCUCUACGAGAUAAGAGACGUCUUUGAGAAAUUCAGUGAAUUCUGGAGAUAGCUACCACUUAUACAGAAGAAUGAAAAAUGUGUCUAUUGGAAUAUUUUCUCAAUUUGCAGCAUUUUCCCCUAGAAUUGCAGGAUGACCUGUCUUUCUUUCAGAAUGUCUCCAGUGAACAAAGGAACAGGAGGCCUCCUAUGCAUUUUAUAAGUGGAAAAGCAAAGCUGUA